RNAcentral lists this ribosomal RNA (873 nucleotides) under uncultured bacterium. Its description in RNAcentral is "bacterial SSU rRNA". It matches the Rfam family "Bacterial small subunit ribosomal RNA", at positions 21 to 890 of the family's 1533-position model. The record is from RNAcentral.
GGCUCAGAUGAAACGCGGGCGGCAUGCCUUACACAUGCAAGUCGAACGGUAACGGGCCUUCGGGUGCCGACGAGUGGCGAACGGGUGAGUAAAGUAUCGGAACGUACCAUUGAGUGGGGGAUAACGUAGCGAAAGUUACGCUAAUACCGCAUAUUCUCUCCGGAGGAAAGCAGGGGAUCGCAAGACCUUGUGCUCUUUGAGCGGCCGAUAUCAGAUUAGCUAGUUGGUGGGGUAAAAGCUCACCAAGGCGACGAUCUGUAGCGGGUCUGAGAGGAUGAUCCGCCACACUGGAACUGAGACACGGUCCAGACUCCUACGGGAGGCAGCAGUGGGGAAUUUUGGACAAUGGGGGCAACCCUGAUCCAGCCAUGCCGCGUGAGUGAAGAAGGCCUUCGGGUUGUAAAGCUCUUUCAGCCGGGAAGAAAACGCACUCUCUAAUACAGGGUGUGGAUGACGGUACCGGAAUAAGAAGCACCGGCUAACUACGUGCCAGCAGCCGCGGUAAUACGUAGGGUGCGAGCGUUAAUCGGAAUUACUGGGCGUAAAGCGUGCGCAGGCGGCUUGUUAAGACAGGCGUGAAAUCCCCGGGCUCAACCUGGGAACUGCGCUUGUGACUGGCAGGCUAGAGUAUGGCAGAGGGGGGUGGAAUUCCACGUGUAGCAGUGAAAUGCGUAGAGAUGUGGAGGAACACCGAUGGCGAAGGCAGCCCCCUGGGCCAAUACUGACGCUCAUGCACGAAAGCGUGGGGAGCAAACAGGAUUAGAUACCCUGGUAGUCCACGCCCUAAACGAUGUCAACUAGGUGUUGGGUGGGUAAAACCAUUUAGUACCGGAGCUAACGCGUGAAGUUGACCGCCUGGGGAGUACGGCCGCA